AAAUUUUAUAGGAACAAACCAAAGAAGAUUGGGUCGUUUCACUCUCACAGUAAUCAGCAUAUGGUGGCUUCCAAUGAUCAGAGAACUAUUGUGAAGCGAAAUGGGGUUCAUAGGUGGAAUAUGAGCUUACCUGGGAGGUCUAAUAAGAAGCAUUACCGUCAUGAAGGAUCUCGUGGGUCAGCCAUUGAGCAAUUUGACAGUUCAGAUCUUCAUGAGUUCAGGUUGCGUGACGCCUCCGGAGCAGCACAGCAUGCUCUUAACGUGGCAAAGCUGAAGAGGGAGAAGGCCCAAAGGUUACUCUAUAGAGCUGAUCUAGCCAUCCAUAAAGCUGUUGUCGCUCUCAUGACUGCUGAGGCAAUCAAAGCUGCUGCUCUGAGCGCAAAUGGUGAUGGUUAGGUUGUGACUUGUGUCUGAGUAUGGUGAUUACCACCAAAUCAAG
Molecule: unclassified non-coding RNA, 439 nt
Filed under: Hevea brasiliensis (rubber tree)
Lineage: Eukaryota; Viridiplantae; Streptophyta; Magnoliopsida; Malpighiales; Euphorbiaceae
Source: RNAcentral